CUCUAACUAAGAGCAGCUUCUCUAGUGAAUCGCAUAGGAAGGAUCACAAAGGAUAGAAUUCCUGCCAUCGGUUAGAGCGUCUA
This 83-nucleotide transfer RNA is filed under the name Markhamia cauda-felina. Its description in RNAcentral is "tRNA-Leu". Lineage: Eukaryota; Viridiplantae; Streptophyta; Magnoliopsida; Lamiales; Bignoniaceae. The record is from RNAcentral.